Molecule: ribosomal RNA, 253 nt
Filed under: uncultured bacterium
Lineage: Bacteria
Description: partial 16S ribosomal RNA
Rfam family: Bacterial small subunit ribosomal RNA
Source: RNAcentral
UACGGAGGAUCCGAGCGUUAUCCGGAAUCAUUGGGUUUAAAGGGUCCGUAGGUGGACCAUUAAGUCAGGGGUGAAAGUCUGCGGCUCAACCGUAGAACUGCCCUUGAUACUGGUGGUCUUGAGUCGUUGUGAAGUGGUUGGAAUAUGUGGUGUAGCGGUGAAAUGCAUAGAUAUCACAUAGAACACCGAUUGCGAAGGCAGAUCACUAACAACGUACUGACACUGAUGGACGAAAGCGUGGGGAGCGAACAGG